Long non-coding RNA from Mytilus trossulus (common blue mussel), 2611 nucleotides. RefSeq lists it as uncharacterized. The transcript has 3 exons. Lineage: Eukaryota; Metazoa; Mollusca; Bivalvia; Mytilida; Mytilidae. The record is from RefSeq and is a predicted model, not a curated record.
UCUAAUUAACUGUUUAGGUUCAGAUAAUUAUUACAAAGUCCCCGACGGGAUAUCUUGUCCAAUUUAAAAAUCUACCGGAAUGUUUUUUCAUUGAAAAUAGUGUUGAAUUUAAAGCACCACCAAAAAAUGAUAUUAUCCAAAUUGUCAUCAAAAGUGUUCAGAUAUCAGAUGUAUUACAGCUAAAGAAUGAAAUUAUUUUGGUCAUUUCACAGCUUUUGCCUACAGUCAACUUUUUAUGUGAAUCAAAGAAUGAAGAGAAAUCAACUUAUUUAUACCCAAGCUGACUAACUGUCAAGAAAGAGAAGACAAGGCAACUCCAUCUGAAGGAAAUUAAAAGAAAAGAUUUUAUUGUUAAAAAACAAUAGAUGUGAAAAUGUUAUUUUUUUCAAUCUAAAACACACAUAACAAAAAAUACACUUAAAAAAUAUGGUUCAAGAAAGUUUCUUAAAAUAUCAGUCUUACUAUUUUUAUAUACUUGAAGAUGUAUUGUAAAAGUAAAUUUGAUAGAUUAAAGUUUUUCAAGGCUUGAAUUAUCUCCCCUUAUUAACCUAACUUUAUGCAAGACUAUUUGUUUUACAACUCAUAGAAUUCUAAUUUUUUAAAGUUGGAAACAUGUGUCAAUAUUUGUUUCUUCUUUAUUUACAGCUUUAUGAUUGGAGUUCAACCUUUUAUCUCAAGAACAACAUAAAGGAAAUCUACUGUGCACAGAUUUAAAAGUCUUCCUCUCUCUUUUUUUAUGAAUUUUAAAGAUUUUUUAAGACAGACAAUUUAACACUGUAUUAGAGAAAUUUAUGUUGCAGAAAUUCAAGAUACUUUGUAAAAACAAACAAUAUGACUUUUUUACUUAAAUAGUUCCAAAAUCAAAUGACUAAGGGAGAUAACUCUACUUCUAAAUUAUUUAUCUGAAAUUGUAAAUUAAAGUGGCUCAUUUUAGUAUUAUCACUGAUGGAUAGAUUUGUCCCUUAAUAAAGAUUAAUGUUCCUAACAAUUGAUGAUAACUUAUAUCUGCUGAUGCAAAUUGUCCCUUACUUUUAAGAGUAUUACUUUUAAAUUAAAUAUAUGUUAUUUUCAGGAGUUGUGUCCCUUUAAUAUUUUUUUAUUUAUCAGAACAUGUUUGGUGUAUAUGUACUCAAGGUGGAAUUUUAUGCUGAUAACAUUAUCUUUAUUUAUAUUCAAGGUUGUCAAACAAUCCUGUAGUUGUAGUAUUUUGAAUUAAGAGAUGAUCUGUAUCAAUAUGUAUUAAAAUUAAUUGUUUCUUUUGCACGCCCCUCAAUUACAUAGUAAUGGCUUAUUUUUUUUAUAUCAACCUUAAUGGUGAAAGAAUUCAGAAUUGACGAAUUCUGAAAUUCUGCAUUUUAGAUCUGUGGUAAUAAAUGAUUUAUUUGAAUUUGAAACAUCAUUUAAGUUGACAUGUUCCUUUUUCAAACAUUUACAAAUGAACACAAUUGUUUUUUUAUUUGAAAAGAUAAUAAUUUGAAAAACUUAUUACAUUUAAAAUUAAUGUAUCUCCUACCUACUGAUACUUCUAAGAAAUUGUAUGCAAAUAAUGUUCAUAGAUAUUAGAUUUAUAGAAAGUCAAACUUGAAAAGAAACUUGGAUUGCUGUGCAUAAUUUAUGUUUAAUUUGAAAUUGUAACAAAUUGUAAACUUUUAUUUGAUUGUACAUUGUGAUGAAUGUUAAAUGAAAUUAAUCUGUAUAGAUGAAACUUUUGUUUUAUUCAUUGAUUAAUAAACUAAAUAAGAUUAUAAUGCAAUACCUGUCUUUGUAUUUUUUAUGAAUUAAUUCAGAACUACCACAAUUUAAAUCACAAAUAAAACAUUUGUCUUCUGUUUGAAGUUUCUCUGUAUGUCCAUUAAAUAAUUAAACCUGUUAAACUAAGCAUAAACAUUUUCUUGCUUACUGAAUGAUCAAAUCAAUAGAAUAUAAAUCAUAUGUUCCAGAAUGCAAGACAUAGGAAUGCUGAUCUCAACUUUUUUCAUUUCAGAUGGUAGAAGAGUUUGAUAAAUUAUAUUUAGAUGUCUGUCUUGUGUCUGGUGUCAUUGAUCUCAGUGUUUUUAUCACCUGAUUUUGUCAAUUAUCAUGAGUAAAAGGACAAUUAUAUUUGGUAUUAAGUCUGCACAAGAGGGAAACAUUUCUGUAAGAAGGAGUUCAUCUUCUUUUUAAUUAUUGAUUAGUAAAGAUACUAUAGUAAUUAUGUGUUGAGUAUGAAAUGAUUAUAAGAUCUACUAGUAUGUGUCGGUUUGGCAGAACUCAUCUUACUUUUAUUUGAAUUUUAUGAUUUCAAACAUAAACAUUACUUUUACUGUUCUUGUCGAUGUAUGUUCGUUUAUAACAUUUUAUGCAAGCAGGGGCUUUAACGGUGUCAUAUGGACACUUCCCAAUUUUUUUUUACAUUGUAGCUAUUAUCUUGAAAACUAUAUUAGAUAGAUAGAAACUUUAAAAAUGAUCAACAAUGCAACAUCUACAAUUAAGACAAAAUGGAAAAAAUUAACCAAAGACUCCUUGUUGGAGUAAUUGCCCUUAAAUGACGAUUUUUAACUUCUUUCUUGUUUGUAUAUAUGUUUGCUUUCAAAUGAUAAGAAUUGUAAUAAAUAGAAAAUUAAAAUCUUAA